ACUUUCUAUGCCCCCCUAUCAACAAAGAGGGAUCAAGAUACCCACCAACCUCAUUAAGAACCUGAAUGAGACAGUUCAAGUAAAGGUCCUCGUGCAAAGGAUUUCUGGGGAUUUAAGGAGAUAUUUCUAAGUCAAGCUAUCCCUCCUUGAGGACUGCAAGUGUUAUUUAUCUUUGGGGCAAUGGUUUCAAUAUCACUAGACUUAAAAAAUAGGUCAUUGCAACUUUUUGUAAACUGCUAAGAACUGUGGAAUGGUAAGCAAUUCCACUGAAGUUUUUUCUCUGGCUCCAGGACAGAUCACAUUUCUUCUGUUGAGCACCAAAUAAAAUAACUGGCUU
Long non-coding RNA from Suricata suricatta (meerkat), 337 nucleotides. RefSeq lists it as uncharacterized. The transcript has 3 exons. Lineage: Eukaryota; Metazoa; Chordata; Mammalia; Carnivora; Herpestidae. The record is from RefSeq and is a predicted model, not a curated record.